This 253-nucleotide ribosomal RNA is filed under the name uncultured bacterium. RNAcentral's name for it is "partial 16S ribosomal RNA". It matches the Rfam family "Bacterial small subunit ribosomal RNA", at positions 524 to 776 of the family's 1533-position model. The record is from RNAcentral.
UACGGGGGGAGCAAACGUUGCUCGGAAUCACUGGGCGUAAAGCGCACGUAGGCGGCUUUCUAAGUCAGGGGUGAAAUCCUGGAGCUCAACUCCAGAACUGCCUUUGAUACUGGGAAGCUCGAGUCCGGAAGAGGUGAGUGGAACUCCGAGUGUAGAGGUGAAAUUCGUAGAUAUUCGGAAGAACACCAGUGGCGAAGGCGGCUCACUGGUCCGGUACUGACGCUGAGGUGCGAAAGCGUGGGGAGCAAACAGG